RNAcentral lists this ribosomal RNA (867 nucleotides) under uncultured archaeon. Its description in RNAcentral is "bacterial SSU rRNA". It matches the Rfam family "Archaeal small subunit ribosomal RNA", at positions 47 to 920 of the family's 1478-position model. The record is from RNAcentral.
AGCCAUGCGAGUCAUUGUAGCAAUACAAGGCGGACGGCUCAGUAACACGUAGUCAACCUAACUCGUGGACGUGGAUAACCUCUGGAAACUGAGAAUAAACCACGAUAGAUCAUAGUGCCUGGAAUGGCUUAUGGUCCAAACAGUUUACUGCCAUGGGAUGGGACUGCGGCCUAUCAGCUUGUUGGUGAGGUAAUGGCCCACCAAGGCGAUUACAGGUACGGGCUCUGAGAGGAGAAGCCCGGAGAUGGGUACUGAGACACGGACCCAGGCCCUAUGGGGCGCAGCAGGCGAGAAACCUUAGCAAUGUGCGAAAGCACGACUGGGUCAGUCCGAGUGAUUCCUGAUAAAGGAGUCUUUUGCUUGUCCUAAAAGCACAGGUGAAUAAGGGGUGGGCAAGUCUGGUGUCAGCCGCCGCGGUAAUACCAGCACCUCGAGUGGUCAGGACGUUUAUUGGGCCUAAAGCAUCCGUAGCCGGCUUUGCAAGUCUUCGGUUAAAUCCACCUGCUCAACAGAUGGGCCGCUGGAGAUACUACAGAGCUAGGGAGUGGGAGAGGCAGACGGUAUUCAGUGGGUAGAGGUAAAAUCCUCUGAUCCAUUGAGGACCACCAGUGGCGAAGGCGGUCUGCCAGAACACGUUCGACGGUGAGGGAUGAAAGCUGGGGGAGCAAACCGGAUUAGAUACCCGGGUAGUCCCAGCUGUAAACGAUGCAAACUCGGUGAUGCAUUGGCUUAUGGCCAAUGCAGUGCCGCAGGGGAAGCCGUUAAGUUUGCCGCCUGGGAAGUACGGACGCAAGUCUGAAACUUAAAGGAAUUGGCGGGGGAGCACCACAAGGGGUGAAGCCUGCGGUUCAAUUGGAUUCAACGCCG